This is a non-coding RNA of Ciona savignyi (Pacific transparent sea squirt), 73 nucleotides long. The record is from Rfam. Lineage: Eukaryota; Metazoa; Chordata; Ascidiacea; Phlebobranchia; Cionidae.
GCCUCGAUGGCGCAGUGGGCAGCGCGUGAGUCUCAUAAUCUCAAGGUCGUGAGUUCGAUCCUCACUCGGGGCA